Molecule: ribosomal RNA, 468 nt
Filed under: uncultured bacterium
Lineage: Bacteria
Description: partial 16S ribosomal RNA
Rfam family: Bacterial small subunit ribosomal RNA
Source: RNAcentral
GACGAACGCUGGCGGCGUGCUUAACACAUGCAAGUCGAACGGAAGGGCCCUGCUUUUGUUGCGUUCUCGAGUGGCGAACGGGUGAGUAACACGUGUGUAACCUGCCCUUGACUUUGUGAUAACUUCAGGAAACUGGGGCUAUUACCCGAUAUGAUCUCCUGCUGCAUGGUGUUGGUUGGAAAGUUUCGGCGGUUGGGGCUGGACUCGCGGCUUAUCAGCUUGUUGGUGUGGUAGUUGCUUACCAAGGCUUUGACGGGUAGCCGGCAUGAGAGGGUGAACGGGCACAUUGGGACUGAGAUACGGCCCAGACGCCUAUGGGAGGCAGCAGUGGGGAAUAUUGCACAAUGGGCGGAAGUCUGAUGCAGAAACGCCGCGUGCGGGAUGACGGCCUUCGGGUUGUAAACCGCUUUCGCCUGUGACGAAGCGUGAGUGACGGUAAUGGGUAAAGAAGCACCGGCUAACUACGUG